This 301-nucleotide ribosomal RNA is filed under the name uncultured bacterium. RNAcentral's name for it is "partial 16S ribosomal RNA". It matches the Rfam family "Bacterial small subunit ribosomal RNA", at positions 509 to 807 of the family's 1533-position model. The record is from RNAcentral.
CAGUCGCCGCGGUAAUACGUAGGUGGCAAGCAUUAUCCGGAAUUAUUGGGCGUAAAGCGCGCGCAGGAGGUUUAAUAAGACUGAUGUGAAAGCCCACGGCUUAACCGUGGAGGGUCAUUGGAAACUGUUAAACUUGAGUGCAGGAGAGAAAAGUGGAAUUCCUAGUGUAGCGGUGAAAUGCGUAGAGAUUAGGAGGAACACCAGUGGCGAAGGCGGCUUUUUGGCCUGUAACUGACACUGAGGCGCGAAAGCGUGGGGAGCAAACAGGAUUAGAUACCCCCGUAGUCCCUGUCUCUUAUAC